UAUGUGAUCGUCUCUCGCAUAUCAAUAAGCGGAGGAAAAGAAACUAACAAGGAUUCCCUUAGUAACGGCGAGCGAACCGGGAUAAGCCCACCAUGAGAAUCGGUCGCCCUCGGCGUUCGAAUUGUAGUCUGGAGAAGCGUCCUCAGCGGCGGACCGGGCCCAAGUCCCCUGGAAAGGGGCGCCGGAGAGGGUGAGAGCCCCGUUGUGCUCGGACCCUGUCGCACCACGAGGCGCUGUCGGCGAGUCGGGUUGUUUGGGAAUGCAGCCCCAAUCGGGCGGUAAAUUCCGUCCAAGGCUAAAUAUUGGCGAGAGACCGAUAGCGAACAAGUACCGUGAGGGAAAGAUGAAAAGAACUUUGAAAAGAGAGUUAAACAGUACGUGAAAUUGUCAAAAGGGAAGCGUUUGACACCAGUGUUGUUUUUCUGAAAAUCAAUUAGAGAACUGUUUAUGCUAAGUUGUUUAGACUUUAUCAGCUAUCUGUUUAGUUUUGAGCUUUUCUUUAAUGCACUUUUCAGUUAACAAGUCAACAUCAAUUUCUUUUGCUGUAAAAAAGCUUGAGGAAGGUGGCUUGAGAUUCGUCUUAAGUGUUUAUAGCCUCUUGCCUAUGCAGUCGGAGAGAUUGAGGUCUGCAGCGUAGAUCCUUCGGGGCUAAAUGCAUUUGUGCUAAGUUAUAGCAUUUUAUAGACAACUUGUUGACUAUGAUUUGUCUUGUAGCUUACUCGCUUAUGUUAUUUUACCUACGCUUAGGAUGUUGAGUCGUAGAGCACGCAG
RNAcentral lists this ribosomal RNA (771 nucleotides) under uncultured Neocallimastigales. RNAcentral's name for it is "partial large subunit ribosomal RNA". It matches the Rfam family "Eukaryotic large subunit ribosomal RNA", at positions 24 to 628 of the family's 3401-position model. The record is from RNAcentral. Lineage: Eukaryota; Fungi; Neocallimastigomycota; Neocallimastigomycetes; Neocallimastigales.